RNAcentral lists this transfer RNA (72 nucleotides) under Bos taurus (domestic cattle). It matches the Rfam family "tRNA". From Rfam's summary of the family: Transfer RNA (tRNA) molecules are approximately 80 nucleotides in length. RNAcentral also lists the same sequence under 1 other name. The record is from Rfam by way of RNAcentral. Lineage: Eukaryota; Metazoa; Chordata; Mammalia; Artiodactyla; Bovidae.
UCCCUGGUGGCUCAGAUGGCAAAGCGUCUGCCUGCAAUGCGGGAGACCUGGGUUCGAUUCCUGGGUUGGGAA